This 1148-nucleotide ribosomal RNA is filed under the name Escherichia coli. Its description in RNAcentral is "partial 23S ribosomal RNA". It matches the Rfam family "Bacterial large subunit ribosomal RNA", at positions 1 to 1180 of the family's 2925-position model. Lineage: Bacteria; Pseudomonadati; Pseudomonadota; Gammaproteobacteria; Enterobacterales; Enterobacteriaceae. The record is from RNAcentral.
GGGUUGUGAGGUUAAGCGACUAAGCGUACACGGUGGAUGCCCUGGCAGUCAGAGGCGAUGAAGGACGUGCUAAUCUGCGAUAAGCGUCGGUAAGGUGAUAUGAACCGUUAUAACCGGCGAUUUCCGAAUGGGGAAACCCAGUGUGAUUCGUCACACUAUCAUUAACUGAAUCCAUAGGUUAAUGAGGCGAACCGGGGGAACUGAAACAUCUAAGUACCCCGAGGAAAAGAAAUCAACCGAGAUUCCCCCAGUAGCGGCGAGCGAACGGGGAGCAGCCCAGAGCCUGAAUCAGUGUGUGUGUUAGUGGAAGCGUCUGGAAAGGCGUGCGAUACAGGGUGACAGCCCCGUACACAAAAAUGCACAUAUUGUGAGCUCGAUGAGUAGGGCGGGACACGUGGUAUCCUGUCUGAAUAUGGGGGGACCAUCCUCCAAGGCUAAAUACUCCUGACUGACCGAUAGUGAACCAGUACCGUGAGGGAAAGGCGAAAAGAACCCCGGCGAGGGGAGUGAAAAAGAACCUGAAACCGUGUACGUACAAGCAGUGGGAGCACGCUUAGGCGUGUGACUGCGUACCUUUUGUAUAAUGGGUCAGCGACUUAUAUUCUGUAGCAAGGUUAACCGAAUAGGGGAGCCGAAGGGAAACCGAGUCUUAACUGGGCGUUAAGUUGCAGGGUAUAGACCCGAAACCCGGUGAUCUAGCCAUGGGCAGGUUGAAGGUUGGGUAACACUAACUGGAGGACCGAACCGACUAAUGUUGAAAAAUUAGCGGAUGACUUGUGGCUGGGGGUGAAAGGCCAAUCAAACCGGGAGAUAGCUGGUUCUCCCCGAAAGCUAUUUAGGUAGCGCCUCGUGAAUUCAUCUCCGGGGGUAGAGCACUGUUUCGGCAAGGGGGUCAUCCCGACUUACCAACCCGAUGCAAACUGCGAAUACCGGAGAAUGUUAUCACGGGAGACACACGGCGGGUGCUAACGUCCGUCGUGAAGAGGGAAACAACCCAGACCGCCAGCUAAGGUCCCAAAGUCAUGGUUAAGUGGGAAACGAUGUGGGAAGGCCCAGACAGCCAGGAUGUUGGCUUAGAAGCAGCCAUCAUUUAAAGAAAGCGUAAUAGCUCACUGGUCGAGUCGGCCUGCGCGGAAGAUGUAACGGGG